CGUCUGCUGUGCUGUAUGCAUUCGCUGUUAGACACUUAGCCGGUUACGCCCAGUUUAUGCGUAGUCGUGAAUUCGCAUUUAUAGUAACGUAAAUUCGUUAUAACACGGGUCAAAGUUGUGAUUAAAGCAAAGCGUAGGUGACGUUCCAUACAGCAAUGCUCUGCCAUAAAGCAAUUAUUCAAAGGUUACACCUUGAUGUCUACUUCCAUGAAAAGAUGUUCUGUAAAUUUCCGACUUCACAAAAAUAUCAUCAUAGAAAUUUGGAAGAAAACUGGAAGCUAGAGUCAAAUCGGCAUCAAGCAGCCUGUCUCUCCUGAUCCAGGUGGAUGAACCCUGGUGUGUGUUUCAAUCAGAGUUAGGCCUACCUGCAUUACCAAGGAUCAAAGACAUCAACAUUGUGGCUGCAUAGAACAGUGACAUCCAGCACAUUGUGGCUGAACAGCUAUUCCGGAUUUCCGUCCCCAUCAUGUCAUUCAGUGAAAUGAAUAUUGAGCAUCAGACACACCGACCCCAAUUUUUUCGUCCGUUGAUGGAGCGCGGAAGUCCGGCAGCGUCAGACAGUGGCCCAGCAUUGCCACAAGUAACGAUGGCUCCGUCGUCGCUGGAGAAAAUCUGAUUGACUGAGGGUUCGCCAUCUCAUUCGGGUCUAUACAGCAGUCAACAUUCUCAACAACGUUCGAGUACAAGAUUGUCCCACGUCUUACGAUAGGUUAGGAGUAAGUAACGAUUUUACUGUGUUCGCAGAUAUACGGUCUGAACUGCCACCGGAAGUACGUUACAUGACAUAUUUUUAUCACAUCUUUAUUUUCCACAUGUGGAGUCGUCCACUCGUAUGAAGACUUUGAAGAGAACGUGAAGGUCCUCUAACUUACACGCCAGCCUGUUGCGGUUUUGAAGGGAAAGUUGAUGUUUUUCCUUCCAAACUGUACAGACUACAGAACUUCGUUAAAUUUGUGUCAAAGAAAUAAUAGAAAUUUUAAGUAUCUUGUACUGUUAUGUAUUCGGCGAUCUGUAUCAGAAAAUCUGUGCCGAAAUUCAUAAUAAUUCAUCAUUUUUACACUCUGAUAAAAUCUUUUUGUCAUCAAUCUGGCGCUUUUGAUAAGGUCCACGAGUCUUUUUCAAAAGUAUUAUUUUUACAUAUUUUUACUUCUUCCUUUCUUGUGUUCAACAAGUUUGUAGCAGGUCCACACUUGCGUUUGGCAGUUUGAUUGACUAUUUUAAACCUAUUUACCCUUUUUUAAAUUCAGAUGAAAGCCAAACUUUCAAUCAGGGGAAACCGGGGGAAUCCUCUACUGUUGUUCAAUACGUCCAUCGCUGAAUAAAGUCACUUUAAUUCA
Daphnia pulicaria is the source of this 1337-nucleotide long non-coding RNA. RefSeq lists it as uncharacterized. The record is from RefSeq and is a predicted model, not a curated record. The transcript is spliced from 8 exons. NCBI's taxonomy places the organism in Eukaryota, Metazoa, Arthropoda, Branchiopoda, Diplostraca, Daphniidae.